CCUACGGGAGGCAGCAGUGAGGGAUAUUGCGCAAUGGGCGAAAGCCUGACGCAGCGACGCCGCGUGGGCGAGGAAGGCCUUCGGGUUGUAAAGCCCUUUUGGCAGGGAAGAGCAAGGACUGUACCUGCAGAACAAGUCACGGCUAACUACGUGCCAGCAGCCGCGGUAAAACGUAGGUGGCGAGCGUUAUCCGGAAUCACUGGGCGUAAAGAGCGCGUAGGCGGUUUGAUAAGUCAUGGGUGAAAGCCCUCAGCUCAACUGAGUUUACGCCCAUGAAACUGUCUGACUUGAGUUUAGGAGAGGAGAGCGGAAUUCCCAGUGUAGCGGUGAAAUGCGUAGAUAUUGGGAGGAACACCGGUGGCGAAGGCGGCUCUCUGGACUAAUACUGACGCUGAGGCGCGAAAGCUAGGGGAGCAAACGGGAUUAGAUCCCCCUGUAGU
RNAcentral lists this ribosomal RNA (440 nucleotides) under uncultured bacterium. RNAcentral describes it as "partial 16S ribosomal RNA". It matches the Rfam family "Bacterial small subunit ribosomal RNA", at positions 338 to 794 of the family's 1533-position model. The record is from RNAcentral.